RNAcentral lists this long non-coding RNA (244 nucleotides) under Elaeis guineensis (African oil palm). RNAcentral describes it as "long non-coding RNA (EGUI_LNC032129)". The record is from RNAcentral. Lineage: Eukaryota; Viridiplantae; Streptophyta; Magnoliopsida; Arecales; Arecaceae.
GGAUCCAAUUGAUAAAAAGAUUAUCAGAAAUAGAGAUGUUUGUGUUUCUAGAAGAUUAAAUUAUUAAAGAUUUUGAAAAAAAAAGAAAAGUCAAAGUCUAUCACUAGAAGUUAUGUUGAUUUGGAUCCAGUGCCUCCUACUAUGAUGAAUAAUGAUAACAGAGAAAAUGUACAGGAAGAUGAUGAUAACGCAUUUGAUGAAUCCAUCUUUAAUAAUGAUAUGCCAGAUGAGUAUGCUAAGCAAG